RNAcentral lists this long non-coding RNA (361 nucleotides) under Volvox carteri. RNAcentral describes it as "long non-coding RNA (VCAR_LNC003486)". The record is from RNAcentral. Lineage: Eukaryota; Viridiplantae; Chlorophyta; Chlorophyceae; Chlamydomonadales; Volvocaceae.
CCGCAGCAAGUGCAGCCCUUCCUCGCGAAGGUGGAGGACGCUGUGCUUGCGUACACAGCUCCUGUGGUUGCCAAGGCAUCCGACCAGGCAGAGAAGUUUCUGCGUAUUACCGACGAGCAGGUUUGGCCCAGGGUCCGGGUGAUUGCGUAACGCAAGGCAACCGUUAGAAGCUACGCCAACCGCUAGCUUGCACCUUGCUUAGCUAUGCGAUACCUUGUUCACAUGUUGUACAGUUUGAGUCGCGUCUUGUGCUUAAUGCGUCUCCUUGCACGUCGCCUCGUCUUCUGGAUGCUGCAACAUCCGUGACCGCCUUGGCACAAUGGUUGCCUCUGGUUUAUUCAUGGGAACGCUUAUCCAUGCC